AUGCCUGGCUAAUUUUUAAAUUUUUUGUAACGAUGAUGUCUCACUAUAUUCCCUAGGCUGGUCUGGAACUCCUGGGCUGAAGCUAUCCUCUUGCCUUGGCCUCCCAAAAUGCUGGAAUUACAGGCAUGGGCCACUACACCUGGCGAUCUGUGUCUUAUAUGCUGCCAUCUUUGACCUGUGGCUCUUGGGUUGUGGGAGUCCCUGCCCAUUCAGCUGGGAGAUGUGCUGUGCUGAAGGACUCCAGGCACAGGGAAAGCUUAGUCCAUUGUUUAGGAUGAAAAAUAACAACCAGAUGAACGAAAGAAGGAUCAUCAGGAGUGAUGAGUAAUGCGCUCCAGAUGUGGCUAUGGAGAACUGGUUCUGAUGGGCACCGCUGCCUGCGAGUAGUCACCUUGUGGGGAGACCCCCUUAUUUCGACAAGGUUGCGGUGACACAAUUUUUUGCAGCCUUCUUUUGGAAUUGUCUUCAGGGUGUGUGACUCAGUUUUUUGAUCGUCCUUAUUGGUGGUAAAUCUUUAUGCUUUGCUUUUUUGGAAUCAGUCAGCCUCUGC
Molecule: long non-coding RNA, 550 nt
Filed under: Rhinopithecus roxellana (golden snub-nosed monkey)
Lineage: Eukaryota; Metazoa; Chordata; Mammalia; Primates; Cercopithecidae
Description: lncRNA (ENSRROG00000046017.1)
Source: RNAcentral